UACGAGAGGCCCAAACGUUAUUCGGAUUUACUGGGCUUAAAGAGUUCGUAGGCUGCACAGAAAGUAGGGUGUGAAAGCCCUCGGCUCAACCGAGGAAUUGCGCUCUAAACUGCUGUGCUUGAGGAACCUAGAGGUGAGCAGAACUGAUGGUGGAGCGGUGAAAUGCGUUGAUAUCAUCAGGAAUACCGGAGGCGAAGGCGGCUCACUGGGGGUUUUCUGACGCUGAGGAACGAAAGCCAGGGGAGCGAACGGG
Molecule: ribosomal RNA, 253 nt
Filed under: uncultured bacterium
Lineage: Bacteria
Description: partial 16S ribosomal RNA
Rfam family: Bacterial small subunit ribosomal RNA
Source: RNAcentral